Acinonyx jubatus (cheetah) is the source of this 1721-nucleotide long non-coding RNA. RefSeq lists it as uncharacterized. The transcript has 5 exons. Lineage: Eukaryota; Metazoa; Chordata; Mammalia; Carnivora; Felidae. The record is from RefSeq and is a predicted model, not a curated record.
CCCAAGUGUGUAAUGAAUAUAUGAUGUUGCCCAUAGGCUGCUAGAACAACCCAUAAUAUUGUCAAAGAAGGCAGUAGGUGGCAGUUAGACUGGGGAAAAGGAUCACUCAGUAUGAACUCAGCGCUGACCUGAUUAGCGGGUGACAAAUGGGGCAGUGCAGCCAAUGAAGUCCUGAUACUAGUGACAACAAAAGAUUACCAGGGGGCCCAUGGAUCUAGUAAAGCUGAAGCUAAAUGUAGGACCCUUUAAGGGAACAGAGAUGGUCAGUAACGCCUUGAAAAACUAACUCCUAGGGUGAGAGAUACCAAGAAAAAGCAGCAACGUACAAUGAGGCAGUAAGUGUGAGACCAAAUUGGAAUCUUGAAGCAAGGCAAGUCCUGACCCAGUAGCGCAUGGCACACGUGUGGAGGUGGGGGAAGUUAGUGCCGCAGUAGCAGCGAGAGCCAUUACGGGAGCUGCAGCAGCAGCAAGAACUUCUGGAACAGGUUCACAAAUGCUGAUGAUGUCUGAGACAUACUGCUUCCAACCUGGCCAGGUCAUCAUGAAAGCCAAGAGGCAGAAAAGACAGGUUUGGGAUACGGGAUAUAAGGCAGAAAACGGGACAAGGUGGUGGACUGCUUUUAGCCACCCAAGGUUAAAAUAUCUCAGUGAAGAGGGAUUGGAAAUGAAAGCAAACACAUCGGUAGUAUAUGUACCUAGUAAGGUUUCUAUGUGAUAAAUAAUAAAUCAACGUGUGUCUUAUUAAUACUGUUAUUUUAUUUCUCUCUAAUAGAUUUCUUCCUUUUCCAAAUGCCAUUAGAGAAGCCAUUCAAACUGUGUGAAUGUAAUGACACUUAACCUAAAUUGACCUGGGAUCACCAUAUAGUCAUCACAUUGACAGGGACUCUCUUGAUGGAGUAUUCCAAACACAAAUGGUACAGACACCAGCUACCCAAAGGCAGUAUGACCAGAAACUGUCCCUGAUUUGGAUGUUGCUAGUUUUUGGAUUUAAUGUCUCCAUCAAUCUUGCAUAGCCUCCUGGAAAGCAGAUUAUUGAAAGGAGAUACAUGGACUUUAGAAGAGAAGGAGAACCAAAUACAUUUUGUAAAGCAAAAACAUUUUAGCUUGCAUCAUUCCGCAAACUCCAAGUUCUGUCAAGUGAGAAGUUCAUGAAAAGCUGUCCACAAGAGAUGGCUCUUGAGCCAGGCCAGAGCAGCAUUUGUGACUGUGACACAAAUGACCUCAGUCACACACAGCCCUAUAUGCUUCUGGGGUUUGAUUCCAGCACACAUCUUCAGGAUUCUGAGAGACACCCUCUGCUUCAUCCAACACAGAAAAAAGGCACAUGUUAAAACACCAAAGAAAUCAUGGAAAGUGGUCCAGGCUCUUCUGAGAGUCCUCAACAUUGAGUACAGGCCUCGAUGGGGUUAAAAGUAGACGCUGUAGGCCUGUCUGGGACAAAAGCCAUAGAAACAGAGAAAGGUGAAAUCAAAGUCAUUUCUCCAGUCCAGUUGAUAGCAACUUUCUGGAGAUAAAGUCCUACAUCAGAGAAGAUUUUCUAAAGAAGGAAAUUUCAGUCACUAUGGUGAACCAAUGGGAGAAACAUUUUGGGAUGACAAUGGAAAUUUACCACCCUUCAAAUGAUAAAGAAGAACUGAAAACAAAUAUUAAAUUGAACACACUGGUGAUAUUUCAGUAGACAUUAUAAAACCACCAGUAAUGCUGAUUUAUCAUGAUUGCAU